GGCAGGACAGGAGUUUUGAGUAAAAAAAAAAGGCAGGAUGAGACACUUGCAAAAAAAAAUAGUCAGGACGACAAUUUCGGUAAAAAAAAAGUCAGGAUAAAGUAAAAAAAAAAAAGAAGGCAGGACCGAACAGAGUGAAAAAUAAAAAGGCAGGACAGAUAUUACAGCUAAAAAAAUGCAGGACAAUUUUUUUUAUCAGUGGCGAUGUGCUUGAGUCCAAUCUUUAUUGACUAGGAUUGCCAGUUUUCCUACUGAAAGUCGGUGGUUCUCUUCAGACAUUCUGCUUCAGCCAUCAAUUAAAACACACCGCCACGAAAUAGCACACUAUUGCUGAAAGUGGCGUUUAUCACCAAUCAAUCAACCACAUCUCAUUGAGUCAUGUUUAUCAAAACUUUACCUCCUAGUGGGUACGUUCUAUUUUUAGUGUUCAAUGUGUUUGCAAGCUCGGUAACUCCUUGUGCCUAAGUUCAACUCCUUGUGCCUAAGUUCACCUCCUAGUUGGUAUAUAUAUGUACGUUCUAUUUUGAGUGCAUCUUUAACGUACAUACGUAGUUGCAAUAUAACUCUUUGUUUGCAUGUUUAAAGAUUAAGCAGGAAGGAAUGUCGACACCUUAUACUAAAUACCAUUUCAAAAUACUUAAAGUAUAAUAUUUCAUUCAUAUGAAAAUUUGUCAUCCCUGACAUCAUAC
Molecule: long non-coding RNA, 689 nt
Filed under: Mytilus galloprovincialis (Mediterranean mussel)
Lineage: Eukaryota; Metazoa; Mollusca; Bivalvia; Mytilida; Mytilidae
Source: RNAcentral